Molecule: transfer RNA, 72 nt
Filed under: Marmota monax (woodchuck)
Lineage: Eukaryota; Metazoa; Chordata; Mammalia; Rodentia; Sciuridae
Description: tRNA.Ala
Rfam family: tRNA
About the family: Transfer RNA (tRNA) molecules are approximately 80 nucleotides in length. Their secondary structure includes four short double-helical elements and three loops (D, anti-codon, and T loops).
Source: RNAcentral
GGGGUUGUGGCUCAAGUGGUAGAGCACUCGCCUAGCAUGUGUGAGGCACUGGGUUCGAUCCUCAGCACCACA